This 964-nucleotide ribosomal RNA is filed under the name Pseudophasma fulvum. RNAcentral's name for it is "SSU rRNA". It matches the Rfam family "Eukaryotic small subunit ribosomal RNA", at positions 416 to 1322 of the family's 1831-position model. Lineage: Eukaryota; Metazoa; Arthropoda; Insecta; Phasmatodea; Pseudophasmatidae. The record is from RNAcentral.
UCAAGAAGCAGCAGGCGCGCAAAUUACCCACUCCCGGCACGGGGAGGUAGUGACGAAAAAUAACGAUACGGGACUCAUCCGAGGCCCCGUAAUCGGAAUGAGCACACUUUAAACCCUUUAACGAGUAUCCAUUGGAGGGCAAGUCUGGUGCCAGCAGCCGCGGUAAUUCCAGCUCCAAUAGCGUAUAUUAAAGUUGUUGCGGUUAAAAAGCUCGUAGUUGGAUUUGUGUCCCACGCUGUCGGUUCACCGUUCGUCGGUGUUUAACUGGCAUGCCCGUGCGGACGUCCUGCCGGUGGAUGCGGUCGACCGUGGGCCUCUGGUCUGCGCGUCGGCGGUCCGAUGCAAUCCUACCGCGGUGCUCUUUACCGAGUGUCGAGGUGGGCCGGCACGUUUACUUUGAACAAAUUAGAGUGCUCAAAGCAGGCAGUGGUUCGCCUGAAUAUUGUGUGCAUGGAAUAAUGGAAUAGGACCUCGGUUCUAUUUUGUUGGUUUUCGGAACUUGAGGUAAUGAUUAAUAGGGACAGACGGGGGCAUUCGUAUUGCGACGUUAGAGGUGAAAUUCUUGGAUCGUCGCAAGACGAACCUAAGCGAAAGCAUUUGCCAUGGGUGUUUUCAUUAGUCAAGAACGAAAGUUAGAGGUUCGAAGGCGAUCAGAUACCGCCCUAGUUCUAACCAUAAACGAUGCCAGCUAGCGAUCCGCCGAAGUUCCUCCGAUGACUCGGCGGGCAGCUUCCGGGAAACCAAAGCUUUUGGGUUCCGGGGGAAGUAUGGUUGCAAAGCUGAAACUUAAAGGAAUUGACGGAAGGGCACCACCAGGAGUGGAGCCUGCGGCUUAAUUUGACUCAACACGGGAAACCUCACCAGGCCCGGACACCGGAAGGAUUGACAGAUUGAGAGCUCUUUCUUGAUUCGGUGGGUGGUGGUGCAUGGCCGUUCUUAGUUGGUGGAGCGAUUGUCUGGUAUC